Populus trichocarpa (black cottonwood) is the source of this 4898-nucleotide RNA transcript. It is a transcript of the gene named putative disease resistance RPP13-like protein 1, with no coding region annotated. The record is from RefSeq and is a predicted model, not a curated record. The transcript has 5 exons. NCBI's taxonomy places the organism in Eukaryota, Viridiplantae, Streptophyta, Magnoliopsida, Malpighiales, Salicaceae.
UACCUCGAGCCACCAGCCACCAGCCAGCGCUAGAACGCAGACACCAAGCCAAGACCCCAAAAGCCCCACACUUGACGAUAAAAAGUAAUCCUCCAUUUUAUGCAGCAACUGUAACCAAGAUUUAAGAAGCUCUCAUCUUACAGGUUUUGCAAAGACCCUUUUCGAAGAAGGAGAAGCUAUGGCUGCAGCUUUGGUAGGAGGGUCAAUUCUCUCUGCUUUCCUUCAAGUUUUGUUUGAUAGAAUGGCGUCUCGUGAGGUUUUAGACUUCUUCAAGGAGCGAAAACUCAAUGAAAGGCUGCUUAAGAAGUUGAAGAUUAUGAUGAUAUCUGUCAAUGGAGUGCUUGAUGAUGCAGAGGAGAAGCAGGUUACCAAGCCAGCUGUGAAAGAGUGGCUUGAUGAGCUUAAAGAUGCCGUGUAUGAAGCAGAUGACUUGUUGGAUGAGAUUGCUUAUGAAGCUCUGCGGUUGGAGGUGGAAGCUGGAUCACAAAUCACCGCUAAUCAGGCGCUUAGAACUUUGUCUUCUAGUAAAAGGGAGAAGGAAGAGAUGGAAGAAAAGUUGGGAGAGAUCCUUGAUAGACUUGAAUAUUUAGUACAACAAAAGGAUGCCCUCGGUUUGAGGGAGGGUAUGAGAGAAAAAGCAUCAUUACAGAAAACACCAACAACUUCUUUGGUGGAUGAUAUUGAUGUUUGCGGUAGGGAUCAUGAUAAGGAAGCUAUACUGAAGUUGUUGCUAUCUGAUGUUUCAAAUGGGAAAAACUUAGAUGUGAUUCCCAUUGUUGGUAUGGGUGGAAUCGGUAAGACUACUCUUGCUCAGCUUGUCUACAAUGACCGCGGAGUGCAGGAGUCAUUUGAUCUCAAAGCAUGGGUCUGUGUUUCAGAAAAUUUUGAUGUUUUCAAGAUAACAAAUGAUGUCCUUGAGGAGUUCGGUUCGGUGAUUGAUGAUGCCAGGACUCCAAAUCAGCUUCAACUAAAGCUAAGGGAGAGAUUAAUGGGGCAAAAAUUUCUGCUUGUUUUAGAUGAUGUUUGGAAUAAUAGCUAUGCUGAUUGGGAUAUUCUAAUGAGACCUCUAAAGUCGGCAGGACAGGGAAGCAAGAUUAUUGUCACGACACGCAAUGAAAGCGUAGCAUCAGUCAUGCGUACUGUUGCAACUUACCGUCUAAAGGAAUUAACCAACGAUGAUUGCUGGUUCUUGUUUGCAAAACAUGCAUUUGAUGAUGGAAAUUCAUCCCUACAUCCAGAUUUGCAAGUAAUUGGAAGAGAAAUAGUGAGAAAAUGUAAAGGCCUGCCGCUAGCUGCAAAAACACUUGGGGGUCUCCUUCGCUCCAAAAGAGAUGCUAAGGAGUGGAUGAAGAUAUUGAGGAGUGAUAUGUGGGAUUUACCAAUUGACAACAUUCUUCUAGCUUUGAGAUUGAGUUAUCGUUAUCUCCCAUCGCAUCUAAAACAAUGUUUUGCUUACUCUGCAAUAUUUCCUAAAGGUUAUGAAUUUCAGAAGGAGGAAUUACUAUUUCUAUGGAUGGCAGAGGGUUUUAUAAACCAACCUAAAGGAAACAUGGAGAUGGAAGAUUUGGGCGAAGAGUAUUUUCAUGAUCUUGUAUCAAGGUCAUUUUUUCAACAAUCAAGUGGCUAUACAUCGUCAUUUGUUAUGCAUGACCUAAUAAAUGACUUAGCAAAAUUUGUUUCUGGAGAAUUUUGCUGCAGGUUAGAGGAUGACAAUUCAAGUAAGAUUAGUAAAAAGGCCCGUCAUUUAUCGUUUGCAAGAAUACAUGGUGAUGGCACUAUGAUACUGAAAGGUGCUUGUGAAGCCCACUUUUUGCGUACACUUUUGCUUUUCAAUCGGUCACACUGGCAGCAGGGGAGACAUGUUGGAAAUGGGGCAAUGAACAAUUUAUUUCUGACAUUCAGGUGCUUACGGGCACUGUCUCUGUCUCUGGAUCAUGAUGUAGUUGGUUUGCCUAAUUCAAUUGGUAAUCUGAAGCAUUUGCGAUACUUGAAUCUAUCUGCAACAUCAAUAGUAAGGUUGCCUGACUCUGUGAGUACUUUAUAUAAUUUGCAAACAUUAAUUUUGCAUGAAUGCAAAGACCUCAUUGAGUUGCCUACCAGCAUGAUGAAAUUGAUCAACUUAUGCCAUCUUGAUAUUACAAAAACAAAGUUACAAGCGAUGCCAUCACAAUUAAGUAAGCUAACAAAACUCCUUAAGUUAACUGAUUUCUUUUUGGGAAAACAAAGUGGGUCAAGCAUUAAUGAGUUGGGGAAGCUCCAGCACCUAAGAGGAACGCUCCGCAUUUGGAAUCUUCAAAAUGUCAUGGAUGCUCAGAAUGCAAUAAAAGCCAAUUUGAAGGGUAAACAACUGCUUAAGGAGUUGGAGUUAACUUGGAAAGGUGAUACUAAUGAUUCACUGCAUGAAAGACUCGUACUGGAGCAAUUACAGCCUCAUAUGAACAUUGAAUGCCUUUCAAUUGUUGGUUAUAUGGGUACUAGAUUUCCAGAUUGGAUAGGAGAUUCCUCGUUCUCAAAUAUAGUUUCCUUGAAGCUCAUUGGCUGUAAAUACUGCUCCUCCUUACCUCCACUUGGACAGCUAGUGUCUCUGAAAGAUCUCCUGAUCAAAGAAUUUGGUGAAAUCAUGGUUGUUGGUCCCGAGUUCUAUGGAAGUUGCACAUCCAUGAAGAAGCCAUUUGGAUCCCUUGAAAUUUUGACAUUUGAAGGGAUGUCAAAAUGGCACGAGUGGUUUUUCUAUUCAGAAGAUGAUGAAGGUGGAGCUUUCCCUCGCCUCCAAAAGCUUUACAUAAAUUGUUGUCCACACCUAACAAAAGUCCUGCCCAACUGUCAACUUCCCUGUUUAACAACACUUGAGAUCAGGAAAUGUCCACAGCUUGUGUCUUUACUUCCAAGGAUUCCGAGCUUCCUUAUAGUAGAGGUGGAAGAUGAUUCUCGAGAAGUGCUGCUAGAGAAAUUGUCUUCUGGGCAGCACAGCCUCAAACUUGACCGACUGAAGUCCCUUGACUCUCUAUUAAAGGGAUGCUUGUCCACUACAGAAAAAAUUCUAGUAAGGAACUGUGAUUCACUUGAGAGCUUCCCACUGGACCAGUGUCCUCAGUUAAAGCAAGUUCGGAUCCAUGGAUGUCCAAAUCUCCAAUCCCUUUCUUCACAUGAAGUAGCUCGUGGGGAUGUCACAUCUCUCUAUUCCUUGGAUAUCAGGGACUGCCCCCAUUUGGUAUCUUUUCCCGAAGGAGGAUUAGCUGCUCCAAAUAUGACAGUGCUUCGGUUGCGGAACUGCUCUAAGAUGAAGUCACUGCCUGAAUAUAUGGACUCCCUUCUCCCAUCCCUCGUGGAAAUUUCUUUAAGAAGGUGUCCAGAACUUGAGUCAUUUCCAAAAGGGGGAUUGCCCUGCAAAUUAGAAUCACUUGAGGUCUAUGCAUGCAAGAAACUCAUUAAUGCCUGCUCAGAAUGGAAUUUGCAAAAACUCCACUCUCUUUCACGCUUAACUAUUGGUAUGUGCAAAGAAGUGGAAUCCUUCCCUGAAAGUUUGCGGCUUCCACCCAGUCUUUGUUCUCUUAAAAUCUCAGAACUCCAAAAUCUGAAAUCGCUGGACUACAGGGAACUUCAACACCUUACCUCUCUUAGAGAAUUGAUGAUUGAUGGUUGCCCUAAGCUCCAGUCAUUGCCAGAAGGACUGCCUGCCACUCUUACCUCUUUUAAAAUAUGGGCACUUCAGAAUCUGGAGUCUCUAGGACACAAGGGAUUUCAACACCUCACUGCUCUUAGAGAAUUGGAGAUUGAGAGCUGCCCCAUGCUGCAGUCCAUGCCAGAAGAACCAUUGCCCCCCUCUCUCUCAUCUCUAUAUAUCCGGGAGUGUCCUUUGCUGGAAAGUAGGUGUCAGCGAGAGAAGGGGGAAGACUGGCACAAGAUUCAGCAUGUUCCUAACAUACAUAUCUAUGCAACAUGCUGAGAUGGUGCUUCUGCUUGGUAUGUGGAGUGUUCAUGCACUAAUUGGAGGCUUAUGGUGAGCAUAGUAUUGAUAUUGGAACUGAUUUCAAAUCCGGUUCAGAAAUUACACUUGAAAGACUGAAGCUCAGGCACAGGAUUUUGUGUUAUCAAAUAUAGUUGAUGGUCAUUUCUGCUUGGAGUGUUGCCUGAUGAUUCACCAUUCAUUGGUUAGCCCGACAUAUUUUGGAGCUAUAUUCCAGUCUUCCAGAGUUUCCCUGAGUUUUGAGGCCAAUCCAUGUUGCAAAUCCAAAUUCUUUCUCAGUUGUCUGACUACGUUGAAGAUGAAACAUCAUGUAUGGCUUAGCUUGAAUGGCAAUUCUGGAGAGACAAAGCUGACCACCUGUUUCAGAACACUUGAAUGUAGUUAAAUCUGCAAAAAGUCUGUCCACGCUGUCAAAACAUGAGCGUAAACAAAAGCUUAACAGGCCAUGUUCAGAUUUCAAGAAACAAGGCCGUUACCACUGCGGCUGAUAAGAGUUUAACGUCCCUCAAUUUUGAAGGUAUGAAUCAUACCUUGUAAAUGGGAUUCUGAGGUAGGAGCUCGUUUUCAAGUGGGCAUUCAUCUCUCUGAACUGAAGCUUCAGAAUGAGCUUUCGCAUUUUCAAGAGCAGCUGAUAAGCAAAUGUUGUUAUGUGUUGAUUCAUCUAGUUUAGUCCCACAGCUAUCACAACAUAUGUUCAGAAAGCAAGAUGUAGCAACAAUGAAGUAACUCUCGAUCUUUCCAUGUUAGUUCAGGAAUUUGUGUCUUGUAAAUUAUAAUGCCAUGCAUGUACGAGGAUUAAGUUCACAAACAUGCACCAAAUGAUGUUUUCUCUUGUACUUGAUUUGCAAGCAUGCUUUAUUUCCAUGGAUGACAGUUUCUCCCGGGGAACUGCUCCCAUGUGUUGGAUUAAUGUUAUGUUCUCAUCUCUCUC